Molecule: unclassified non-coding RNA, 588 nt
Filed under: Hevea brasiliensis (rubber tree)
Lineage: Eukaryota; Viridiplantae; Streptophyta; Magnoliopsida; Malpighiales; Euphorbiaceae
Source: RNAcentral
AAGACGCACAAUCAUAGAGAUUUGUCAAAAUAAGAGGAAACACAAGCCCAUACAUGAUCCAGCUGCCUCACAUUUGACAAGCAUAAACAACUCAGUUCUAGCAUUACAAGAGACUAACGCUAACCCUUUCACUAAAGAUACAAGAUGCUACUAAAAUUCAUUGUCGAUCACCAGCUCUAUGCUGAUAAUCAACAGUUCACAUUACCUGGCCCUUCAUGAAGUAUCACUUUGCUGCUGUUGAGCUUCUUGUUGCUGUGGUUGAGUCUGUGGCCACGGCAUGAAUGCCACAGGUGGUCGAGGCUGCUGGGCUCCAUAGGCUGCUGCUUGAUCAACUGGCUUUCCCAUAAUCAUCCCUGGAGGUCCCACAGGAGGCUGUGGUGGGACAUAGUAAUACGGAAUAUCAGCAGGAGAACCAACCAUAGGAAUAGUAGCCUUAGUGACCCCUAAUCCCUCCUCUUUUAAUUCAUCUCUGGGAAUAAUAUCAACCAAGAAAUCAAAAACGUCAGUCCUCGAAAUGGCAGCUGCAAUAUCAUUCUUUUGUAAUGUCCUCCUCUUGUUCUCUUCUGUGUGAAUCCAAGAGCGCAGAGU